CUGGCCAAUUUAAAGCUUGUGGAUAUUUCUUCCCCCUCGGGGAAAGCUUAUGUGAGGAUUUUCUUUUUUAACAGUUCAUUCCGUGAAACCAUUUUUUUUCUCCUUGUUUGCUGUUAGAAAAUGUUGGAGCUGAACAUAAGGCUUUCAUUGCAGAUUGCUAUCAAGGGAACUAAGGAAGGAUGUAGGCAUACUGUUAAUGUCUCUAUUCAAGCUGUAUUUGAGGUAAGGCGAUUUUUUAUCCUUAUCUCUGAAAUUAGACUAUGAAGUAGAUGCAGUAUUUACUUUCAUUAUAGUUGCUAAGAUUAUCCUGUUGCUAUUUGUUUUUCUUAUUGAUAAAAUGUGUUUAGACUUGUCACAAAACUGUUCCUUCCCUAUGUAAGAAUGAAAAUCCUGUAUUUUUAUUUCAACAAUAUCUACUACAUAUCUGCAUGUUCCUAUUAGCUUGUGUUCUCUGGAUCAAUGAAAGAUCAUUUUUUGUAGUUGCUUUGGAUUUGUCCACUAUGCUUAUCAUAUUGUGUGGGAGUGAGUGGAUUUCUUGACCUGGGUGGGCAGUUCUUAUGCAAACUUUGUAAAACUGAGUUUCAAAUUGUUUCCACUGUGAAUCGCUUUCCUUGUAAAAGAAUUACUUUUAUGGUAAUGUUUAACUUGAGUAGAAUUGUUUUCAAACAUAUACAAUGUACUUUUUGUGUAUUCUUUUUUAAGAGCAGUCCAAAUAAAAUAGUUAUUCAUAUCA
Molecule: long non-coding RNA, 733 nt
Filed under: Junco hyemalis (dark-eyed junco)
Lineage: Eukaryota; Metazoa; Chordata; Aves; Passeriformes; Passerellidae
Description: lncRNA (ENSJHYG00000006331.1)
Source: RNAcentral